AGAGUUUGAUCCUGGCUCAGAUUGAACGCUGGCGGCAGGCCUAACACAUGCAAGUCGAGCGGAUGAAAGGAGCUUGCUCCUGGAUUCAGCGGCGGACGGGUGAGUAAUGCCUAGGAAUCUGCCUGGUAGUGGGGGACAACGUUUCGAAAGGAACGCUAAUACCGCAUACGUCCUACGGGAGAAAGCAGGGGACCUUCGGGCCUUGCGCUAUCAGAUGAGCCUAGGUCGGAUUAGCUAGUUGGUGAGGUAAUGGCUCACCAAGGCGACGAUCCGUAACUGGUCUGAGAGGAUGAUCAGUCACACUGGAACUGAGACACGGUCCAGACUCCUACGGGAGGCAGCAGUGGGGAAUAUUGGACAAUGGGCGAAAGCCUGAUCCAGCCAUGCCGCGUGUGUGAAGAAGGUCUUCGGAUUGUAAAGCACUUUAAGUUGGGAGGAAGGGUUGUAGAUUAAUACUCUGCAAUUUUGACGUUACCGACAGAAUAAGCACCGGCUAACUC
Molecule: ribosomal RNA, 500 nt
Filed under: uncultured Pseudomonas sp.
Lineage: Bacteria; Pseudomonadati; Pseudomonadota; Gammaproteobacteria; Pseudomonadales; Pseudomonadaceae
Description: bacterial SSU rRNA
Rfam family: Bacterial small subunit ribosomal RNA
Source: RNAcentral